This is a non-coding RNA of Callithrix jacchus (white-tufted-ear marmoset), 3358 nucleotides long. The record is from RefSeq and is a predicted model, not a curated record. Lineage: Eukaryota; Metazoa; Chordata; Mammalia; Primates; Cebidae.
GCGUCUCACUCCCUGAGAAAAGCCAGUCAUCUCUGAAACACUGCCCUUGGCCCUUCUCGGAAGGAGGAGCAAGUAUGACACGGAAGCACAGGAAAUGGCCAAUGUCCAACCAUUUUUGACCUACCUAAAUGGCCAUUUCUCUGGUACAAUCUAAUAUUAAAGUUCCAUUAUCUGGCAAAAGGAAAAAGCUGUUCAGUCACUGGUUGGUGAUAUCUGAGGAGGGCGGACCCAGGACCAGUCCAAACUGGACAUCCAGGUCAGCUGUACCGGUGUGGACACUGCUGAGCAAGAAAGAGGUACUGCUGCGGUUAAGCCUCACCCUAGGAGGCUGGGAUCAUUCUCCCUCAAGAACCCAGGAGCCUGCGCAGGGAUGGUCAUCAGGGAGGCACCUCCCAGACGCCGGGCAGUUGAACCACGCUGGGCUAAGUUACAACAGCGACACCACGUGGCAACCGGAAAGCAAGGCAGUUGAACUGAUGGGACCCCACACUCUUCCUAUGGAAGAAAUUACCUGCUUUGGGGAUGUGUAGACCCCAUGUUCUAGCAUAAUUUGGAGGGAGUGAAGAGCCUCAAGGAGAAACAAUGGACUCCCUACUUCUAAGACGGAGUCUUGCUUUGUCACCAAGCUGAAGUGCAGUGGCACAAUCUCGACUCACUGAAACCUCCACCUCCCAGGUUCAAGUGAUUCUCUUGCCUCAGCCGCCCAUGUAACUGGGACUACAGCUCUUUAGAAAUGCAAUUAUAACCUUGACCUUCCCUUCACCGGAAGCUACCUAUAGGACAAGCUUAUCUGACUAUGCGCUCACUUAGAAGCUCCAGACCCAGGAGUUUGUCUCAAGAGACAACUGUCAAUUUCCAACCUCAAGUACACACACAACGGAACUCCAAUCCACCUGGAGAUUAUCUCAAGACAACGGCUACCUUAGAACCUAGUUUUGUGUCAGCUGGACCACCUGGUGGAUCGGUUUUGCUCACAGGCAGCAAAUGUGGGGCCACCAAUCCAUCCCCAGCUUCACUGGAGGCCAAAGGAAAUCAAGGCAGAAGAGUUUGGAGGCAUUAGUAUUGGUUCCUAGCAUCUGCGUUCGUUUCUGCUGGCAACACAAGCCUUAUUCAGCAUCGCAAAACACGUCAACCAAGCCAGUCUUGGACAGCAGAUGAACUGCUGAAGCCUGUAAGUGCACAUCAGUGGUUUGGCCAAAGUCCACCAGAGAGCAGAAGGAAGGAUGGAGACCCUGUGUUCAGUGAACAAUGUGAUGCUACCACCUUGGGAAGAUUUUUUGCAAAGAAUUCAAAGAAUAAUUUAGAUUAUUAGUGCUGGAAGAAACUUGAAGACCACUCCCUCCAAAGCCUCUUUUCACAGAUGAGGAAGCUGAGGUUUAGAGGUUGGAAGUGAUUUCCCCAGUGGCCCACCGUCUUCCAGUUCCCAGGCUCGAACCAGAACUGGCUUCAUAAGGCUUGCCUCCAACAGGCAGUGUCAUCAUGACCACGCCCCUACAGGCUCUGAGUUGUUUCUCCAGACCAGACCAGCAAGCUCAGAUCAGAACCGCAUUUUCUGCCGGGGCAUCACCCCCCAGCCACAGAGGCCUCUGGCAGUUGGGUUCUGCAUCAAUGGAGGACACGGUCCAAGUUGUGUUUGCCCAUCAAGGAGGAGCUCAGGUUCACCUGACCCAGCAGCUUCUGCGGUUGCUUGACAAACCCAGUGACCUAAGCCCAUUGCUAUCCACAGACGGCCCAGCCCUCAUCCUUGGGCUGACAGGGGACCUCAGCUUCUUUCUCCGGUGACUGAAUUCAGUGCUGUAGCUCCCUACCUUGCACAGCUGAGCAUGGAGCUACUUAUAGCUCUGUUAUCAUGUUCCUGUUUUAAUACAAACAAACAGCCGUAGCCCAGGAAAGAGAUUUAUUAGAGAGGCUGCUUGCCUUCUGCUCUGGCAAGAGACCUUCAUAGCACCAAGCACCUGGCUGCUCUGUGGGGUUUGAGUGAAACGAUGACUCUUCCUUUACCCCAUCCCCUCAGCCUCCUGCUUUCUUCCCUUCCUCCACCUCUGAGACCACCUAGAAAUUUCGAUGUAGAAAAGCCCAAUCUUGUAGAACAUCACGGCUGGGAAAACCUUAGGGAUGGUGAUCAUAACCAGUGAUCAGAAACACGACUGACGUAUCCACCCCUCUGCUCGUGAAAGGCUGGGCCGGUUAUUGAGUUAUUGCUUGUCAGCUCCAAAUCCCCCACAGUUAGAUGUUGGGGGACUCUGCAAGCCCCAUUUCUGCUUUGCCAACUGCUCCUCAAGAAGCUCUGCCAGGAGGGGGCAGAGGCCAGAGGAGGGAGAAGGACAGGGCCCUUCUGAUUUUUCUCCUACAUAGAAUAAUUUAGAUUAUGAGGGCUGGAAGAAACUUGAAGACCACCCUCUCCAGAGCCUCUUUCUACAGAUGAGGAAGCUGAGGCCUAGAGGUUGAAAAUGAUUUACCCAACAGCCUACAGUCUUCCAGGUCCAACGCUCGAACCAGAACUGGCUUAGGAGAAAAAAACAGACUCUUUCCUGUCUGUUUCCUGUUUCUAUGAGCAGCACUCUGGCACACUGCUUCACCCAGGCAGGAGUAGUUCCUUCCCUCAGCAGCGAAAGAACCAAGCUUGCAGUUUUACUGAUUCCUGCAGAGCCAGCCACAUGAUGCUCCCUCAGAGGCACCAGCUCCAGUCCCCUGGAGUCCCCUCCAUGGAGCUCUGAGGUUCACUUCUGAGGGGCUUCUCCUCUAAACUUCUAAAUUUUAAUAAUCUCAACUUCUACUCUUUGCUUCCCCAGGCUUAAGGGUGAUAGCUGCUUCCUGCAGUCACUGCCUUCCACGAUACCUGAGAGUUUGUUUUUCGCCUUUGCACGUAUCUAGACAACAAUUCUUCACAUAUUGAAUUCUACUAAAAUAGCUAGGAGGUUUGGCUGCCUGUGGUUGCUCACGCUUGUAAUCUUAUCACUUUGGGAGGCCAAGGUAGGUGGAUCACCUGAGGUCAGGAGUUUGAGAUCAGCCUGGCCAACAUGGAAACAGCAUCUCUACUAAAAAUACAAAAAUCAGCCAGGCAUGGUGGUGGGUGCCUGUAGUCCCAGCUUACUCAGGAGGCGGAAGCAGGAGAAUCAUUUGAACCUGGGAGGCAGAGGUUGCAGGGAGCCAAGAUCACACCACUGCACUCCAGCCUGGAUGACAAAGUGAGACUCUGUCUCAAAAUAAAAAAACCUCGAAGGUUUAAGGUGUUCAUCUCCUGACUCAAUUCUGACUGAUAUCUGAUAUGCUGGCAGAGCUGGGGUCCAAACCUGGGUCUUCUUUCUCCUGGUUCAGGACUCUUUGCACUGGAACCCAAUAAACAUUUGCUCAAUUA